AACGAACGCUGGCGGCGUGCUUAACACAUGCAAGUCGAACGGAAAGGCCCUGCUUUUGUGGGGUGCUCGAGUGGCGAACGGGUGAGUAACACGUGAGUAACCUGCCCUUGACUUUGGGAUAACUUCAGGAAACUGGGGCUAAUACCGGAUAGGAGCUCCUGCUGCAUGGUGGGGGUUGGAAAGUUUCGGCGGUUGGGGAUGGACUCGCGGCUUAUCAGCUUGAUGGGUGGGUAGUGGCUUACCAAGGCUUUGACGGGUAGCCGGCCUGAGAGGGUGACCGGCCACAUUGGGACGGAGAUACGGCCCGGACUACGACGGGAGGCAGCAGUGGGGAAUAGUGCACAAGGGGCGGAAGCCUGAUGCAGCAACGCCGCGUGCGGGAUGACGGCCUUCGGUUUGUAAACCGCAGUCGCCUGUGACGAAGCGUGAGUGACGGUAAUGGGUAAAGAAGCACCGGCUAACUACGUG
This 468-nucleotide ribosomal RNA is filed under the name uncultured bacterium. Its description in RNAcentral is "partial 16S ribosomal RNA". It matches the Rfam family "Bacterial small subunit ribosomal RNA", at positions 28 to 507 of the family's 1533-position model. The record is from RNAcentral.